Molecule: ribosomal RNA, 419 nt
Filed under: Deioneus sandizelli
Lineage: Eukaryota; Metazoa; Arthropoda; Malacostraca; Decapoda; Alpheidae
Description: partial large subunit ribosomal RNA
Rfam family: Bacterial large subunit ribosomal RNA
Source: RNAcentral
AAUAGUCUUUUAAUUGGGGGCUUGAAUGAACGGUCGGACAAAAGAAAAGCUGUUUCGUUAGUAAAUUUUGAAUUUAAUAUUUAUGUGAAAAAGCAUGAAUGAAUUAGGGGGACGAUAAGACCCUAUAAAACUUUACGCAAAUUAUGUGCUUUCUUAAAUUUUAGUAAAGGGCAAGUGGAGUACUAGCGUUGGGUUGGGGCGACAAAGAUAAAAUAAGUAACUGUCUACGGGUUAAAAUAAUUAUAAUUAGAAAAUGAUCCUUUAAUAAAGAUUAAGAGAUAAAGUUACUUUAGGGAUAACAGCAUAAUUUUUUCUGAGAGUUCUUAUCGAUGAAAUUAGUUGUGACCUCGAUGUUGAAUUAAGAUUUCCUCUAGGAGUAGAAAUUUAGGGGGAAGGUCUGUUCGACCUUUAAAUUCUUA